CCUGAUCGAGCGACGCCGCGUGCAGGAUGAAAUCCUUCGGGAUGUAAACUGCUUUUUUGAGGGAGGAAUCCCGCCUUUGGCGGGAUGACUGUACCUCAAGAAUAAGCACUUGCUAACCUCGUGCCAGCAGCCGCGGUAAUACGAGGGGUGCGAGCGUUAUCCGGAUUUACUGGGCGUAAAGGGUGUGUAGGGGGUUUUGUUAGUCCUCCGUUAAAUAUUCCCGCUUAACGGGAAAGAUGCGGGGGAAACGGCAAAACUUGAGGGUGCGAGAGGCAAGCAGAACUCACGGUGUAGGGGUGAAAUCCGUUGAUAUCGUGGGGAAUACCAAAGGCGAAGGCAGCUUGCUGGAGCAUUUCUGACCCUGAAACACGAAAGCGUGGGGAUCAAAAAGGAUUAGAUACCCUUGUAGUCCACGCCCUAAACGAUGAUGACUAGCUAUCCGAAGUAUCGACCCUUUGGGUGGCGAAGCUAACGCGUUAAGUCAUCCGCCUGGGAAGUACGAUCGCAAGAUUAAAACUCAAAGGAAUAGACGGGGACUCGCACAAGCGGUGGAGCAUGUGGUUCAAUUCGAUGGUAAACGAAAAACCUCACCAGGGCUUGAAAUGCCAAUGAUCGUCCUGAGAAAUCGGGACUCUCU
Molecule: ribosomal RNA, 637 nt
Filed under: uncultured bacterium
Lineage: Bacteria
Description: bacterial SSU rRNA
Rfam family: Bacterial small subunit ribosomal RNA
Source: RNAcentral